RNAcentral lists this ribosomal RNA (124 nucleotides) under uncultured bacterium. RNAcentral describes it as "partial 16S ribosomal RNA". The record is from RNAcentral.
GCCGGGGUUUCUUUACCAGGUACUGUCAUUAUCAUCCCUGGCGAAAGAGCUUUACGACCCUAAGGCCUUCGUCACUCACGCGGCAUGGCUAGAUCAGGCUUGCGCCCAUUGUCUAAGAUUCCCC